GGCGGCGGGGCUAGCGGGGC
This 20-nucleotide unclassified non-coding RNA is filed under the name Chlamydomonas reinhardtii. Its description in RNAcentral is "small RNA Cre_1866". Lineage: Eukaryota; Viridiplantae; Chlorophyta; Chlorophyceae; Chlamydomonadales; Chlamydomonadaceae. The record is from RNAcentral.